RNAcentral lists this long non-coding RNA (200 nucleotides) under Prunus persica (peach). RNAcentral describes it as "long non-coding RNA (PPER_LNC003555)". Lineage: Eukaryota; Viridiplantae; Streptophyta; Magnoliopsida; Rosales; Rosaceae. The record is from RNAcentral.
AAAAAAUAAUCCUAAUUACAAAAAUUAAAACUCAGUAUUUGGGACCCCUGACUUGGACUUGGCUGCUCUAUUCUUAUUGGCCAUAGACCCAAUCCAAACGUCAAAACCUCUACAUCCAAAAUUCACCAAAAAAAUCAUCUUAAUUCUAAAAAAUAUUACGAACUCUUUGUAACAUGCACUUUCAUUUUAUGAUCUCAAAU